GACGAACGCUGGCGGCGUGCUUAACACAUGCAAGUCGAACGGAAAGGCCCCGUUGGGGGUACUUGAGCGGCGGACGGGUGCGUAACACGUGAGUGACCUUCCCGUGACUUCGGGAUAACUACAUUAAAGUGGGGCGGAUACCGGCUAGGAAUCCUCGCUGCAUGCUGGGGGUUGGAAAGCUUCGGCGGGUUUGGGUGGACUCGCUGGUUAUCAGCUUGCUGGUGGGGGUGGUGGUUACCUAGGCUUUGUCUGGUAGCCGGCCUGCGGGGGCGACCGGCCACAUUGGGGCUGAGAUACGGCCCAGGCUCCUACGGGGGGCAACAGUGGGGAAUAUUGCACCAUGGGCGGGAGGCUGGUGGCGCAACGCCGCGGGCGGGAUGACGGGCUUCGGGGUGUAAACCGCCUUCAGCAGGGGCGGAGCUUGUGGUGACGGUACCUGCAGAAGAAGCACCGGCUAACUACGUG
Molecule: ribosomal RNA, 465 nt
Filed under: uncultured bacterium
Lineage: Bacteria
Description: partial 16S ribosomal RNA
Rfam family: Bacterial small subunit ribosomal RNA
Source: RNAcentral